This is a non-coding RNA of Coniochaeta sp. 2T2.1, 112 nucleotides long. The record is from the annotation of a GenBank genome assembly. Lineage: Eukaryota; Fungi; Ascomycota; Sordariomycetes; Coniochaetales; Coniochaetaceae.
GGUUAGAUGGCCGAGCGGUCUAAGGCGCCACGUUAAGGUUAUCUCAAACCCUUAAAACAUCUGUUGUUCUCCGUGGUCCGAAAGGGCGUGGGUUCGAAUCCCACUCUAAUCA